This is a long non-coding RNA of Bos taurus (domestic cattle), 264 nucleotides long. The record is from Ensembl. Lineage: Eukaryota; Metazoa; Chordata; Mammalia; Artiodactyla; Bovidae.
AGACAGAAGUGAAUGGGUGUGGUGGUGUGCUAAGAAAACUUCUCCACAAAGAUGGGAAGGUGGGACUCAGGGGUUGCCGCUGGCACUGUUGACCCCAAGAACACGGUGGCUGCAAUACCACAGCAUUUGGUCAGACAACUGGGAACAUCUGCCUGCAUGCUGGGACAUGCAGGACCCACUGCCACCUCAACUGACUCCUGACGCCCGUGAAGCUGGAGAUUGGACGUCGGUGGCCCCAUGGCCUUGCUUUCCAACAGAAAACAC